UGGAGGAACCUCUGCACUCUCUUGCCC
This 27-nucleotide non-coding RNA is filed under the name Mus musculus (house mouse). The record is from RNAcentral. Lineage: Eukaryota; Metazoa; Chordata; Mammalia; Rodentia; Muridae.